Non-coding RNA from Drosophila melanogaster (fruit fly), 413 nucleotides. Lineage: Eukaryota; Metazoa; Arthropoda; Insecta; Diptera; Drosophilidae. The record is from Ensembl.
AACUCAGUCGUCUUCGGUCAGCGGCCGCUGCACUUGAACAUGAAACAGCCGCAAAAAGCUUAAAAGCUAAACCAAAACCAAAUCCAAAUACGAAUCAAAAAACCAAACCCAAUAUAAAAGCAAAGUUCUGUGUAUGUCAAUUUCCAAGCCGUGAUACGUUGUCACCUGAUUGGUACGGGUCGCACUUGCUACAAGCGACUCUGGCUAUGCGAAAGGUAAGUGGGUAUCUAGUAUUCAUAGGCGGAAAGGACAGAGGUGAGCGACAGAACAACAAAGCACAUGGCAUCGCCCACUCGCGCCCACAAAGAAAGGUCGUAUGUUGUCUGCAUUGGGGCCGCUGUUUUGCGCUUAUGCUAUUGCUCUUCCUAGCGCUGAACUUGAACAAUAGCGUCGCACCACGCAAUACCGUGCAC